GGAUUGGGAUAUUCCGACUCCUUAAGGGCCUGGCGCACAUAAGGUGUGACCUUUUCAUUCCCGUUGUUAUGGAGGGCCACAUCUGCCAGAGCCUGGAGUCUGCGAAGGCCGGGACCCGGUUCCCCGGCCCACAGUGGGGGUGUGCAAACCCGAGAGAACUGGGUUGCAAAUUCGUGAAGAAUCAGCAUCAUGUUUGGCAGCUGAGUAUUGGAGCCAGGAGCCUGCCAUGAGGUUUUGAGAACAGAGUGCUGUUUUAGAGCUGGCAGCAGCAUCUCAGCCCAAGAGAAGGUUAUAUUCCCAGAGGAUGUCAGUCCCAAGGACCAGUAGCUGCCAUCAGUUUGGAUUCUGAAAACUAACUGGCAUCAACACUGGGUGUAGAAACAUGCUUGCCUUAUGUAUCAGAGGACAUGCUCAGCAGAUCCAAGAGAUAUAUUUGGCAACUUUUUCUAGAAAAGGCACAUUGGGUAUCAUUCAUUACAUUCUUGAGUUUUUUUGGGUUUUUUUUUUUUUUUUUGAGACAGUCUUGCUGUAUUGCCCAGGCUGGAGUGUGGUGGCACAAUCACAGCUCAUUGCAUCCUCAAUCACCCAGGCCUAAGCAAUCCUCCCACCUUGUAGCUGGGACUACAGCUCACAGCACACCUGGCUAAAAUUUUUUUUUUGUUGAGACGGAUUCUCUAUGUUGCCCAGGCUGGUCUCAGGCUCCUGGGCUCAGAUGGUCCUCCUGCCUCAGCUUCCAAAGGCACAGGCCAAGUUGUAGCUUUGUCCCUUGCCAUCAUGCCCAACAAGAGGUUCUAUACCUUUUAAUGAAUUGACUUUCAUAAAUUGGUUAUGUUGGUGGGCAAAGUUCUUUAAGCUGGAAAUUGUAAAUUCCUCCUGAAAUGUUUUUUCAUGCAGUUACCAUGAACUAAUACUACAAUAAAGGAUGGUCUUGGGUGUCAAUUCUUGAA
RNAcentral lists this long non-coding RNA (947 nucleotides) under Homo sapiens (human). RNAcentral's name for it is "non-protein coding LRRC75A-AS1:30". Lineage: Eukaryota; Metazoa; Chordata; Mammalia; Primates; Hominidae. The record is from RNAcentral.